RNAcentral lists this long non-coding RNA (633 nucleotides) under Mus musculus (house mouse). RNAcentral describes it as "RIKEN cDNA 2210408F21 gene, transcript variant 5 (2210408F21Rik)". Lineage: Eukaryota; Metazoa; Chordata; Mammalia; Rodentia; Muridae. The record is from RNAcentral.
GUGUCAUGCAAGAAGGAGGCGGCGGCGGCGGCCGGAGCUGGAGGGGGAGGAGGGGAGGAACCUGAUCCUCGGUAGCGAAGGGCUGGAGGCAAACACCGAGCUCCCCCUGAGCCGCCUGGGAGCAGGGAGGGUUCUGCUACCCUGAGGGGCCCUCCCCGCGGGGCAGAGGGGUUUCCUCAGCAGUGCCCCGGAGCAGGGACCGCGCCAGCCAGCAGAAACAGCUAGUUGUUGUCUGCAGUGAAGAAUAAUUGGAAGCAUGGUGCCUGUUUCUUUUCCUGUGGGAGGAAGUCACAGCAUCUACUUCUGAAUCUGUGCUUGCCUUGAGGAAAAACGGCAUGGCACAGGAAUGUGGACGCUUUCAACCAGAGGAUUCUGUACGACGGUGUCGGCACACACUCAUCCUCGUCUACGGCCAAACGUUGGUUUCUCAUUUCUAGAAGAUGAAAGAUGUGAUGACUCAGGAAAAACUUGCUGCUCGAGAUGUGAGUCUUCAGAUGUUCCUGCCGCCAUAUCUGACAGCUGCUGCCAAGAUUCCCUGGUGGGAUGGACUCUUAUACCUCAACAACCAGAAGCCCAAGUAAACUCUUCUAUAAAUUGAAUGACUCAUGCUUAAAAAAAAAAACAAAAAACAAA